GAUGAACGCUGGCGGCGUGCUUAACACAUGCAAGUCGAGCGAGUGAGUUCUUCGGAACGAUCUAGCGGCGGACGGGUGAGUAACACGUGGGCAACCUGCCUCAUAGAGGGGAAUAGCCUCCCGAAAGGGAGAUUAAUACCGCAUAAAAUUAUCGAGUGGCAUCAUAUGCUAAUCAAAGGAGUAAUCCGCUAUGAGAUGGGCCCGCGGCGCAUUAGCUAGUUGGUGAGGUAACGGCUCACCAAGGCGACGAUGCGUAGCCGACCUGAGAGGGUGAUCGGCCACAUUGGGACUGAGACACGGCCCAGACUCCUACGGGAGGCAGCAGUGGGGAAUAUUGCACAAUGGGGGAAACCCUGAUGCAGCAACGCCGCGUGAGUGAUGAAGGUCUUCGGAUUGUAAAGCUCUGUCUUUGGGGACGAUAAUGACGGUACCCAAGGAGGAAGCCACGGCUAACUACGUGCCAGCAGCCGCUGUAA
RNAcentral lists this ribosomal RNA (476 nucleotides) under uncultured bacterium. Its description in RNAcentral is "partial 16S ribosomal RNA". It matches the Rfam family "Bacterial small subunit ribosomal RNA", at positions 28 to 523 of the family's 1533-position model. The record is from RNAcentral.